This is a non-coding RNA of Phrynosoma platyrhinos (Desert horned lizard), 72 nucleotides long. The record is from the annotation of a GenBank genome assembly. NCBI's taxonomy places the organism in Eukaryota, Metazoa, Chordata, Lepidosauria, Squamata, Phrynosomatidae.
ACCAGUGUGGCAUAGUGGUUUGAGUGUUGGACUACAACUGUGGAGACUAGGGUUCAAAUCCCACCUCAGUCA